CCUUACCUGGCCUUGACAUACUAAGAACUUUCCAGAGAUGGAUUGGUGCCUUCGGGAACUUAGAUACAGGUGCUGCAUGGCUGUCGUCAGCUCGUGUCGUGAGAUGUUGGGUUAAGUCCCGCAACGAGCGCAACCCUUUUACUUAUUUGCCAGCGGGUUAAGCCGGGAACUUUAAGGAUACUGCCAGUGACAAACUGGAGGAAGGCGGGGACGACGUCAAGUCAUCAUGGCCCUUACGGCCAGGGCUACACACGUGCUACAAUGGUCGGUACAAAGGGUUGCUACCUCGCGAGAGGAUGCUAAUCUCAAAAAGCCGAUCGUAGUCCGGAUCGCAGUCUGCAACUCGACUGCGUGAAGUCGGAAUCGCUAGUAAUCGCGGAUCAGAAUGCCGCGGUGAAUACGUUCCCGGGCCUUGUACACACCGCCCGUCACACCAUGGGAGUUUGUUGCACCAGAAGUAGGUAGUCUAACCGCAAGGAGGACGCUUACCACGGUGUGGCCGAUGACUGGGGUGAAGUCGUAACAAGGUAAGCGUAGAUGA
RNAcentral lists this ribosomal RNA (541 nucleotides) under uncultured bacterium. RNAcentral describes it as "bacterial SSU rRNA". It matches the Rfam family "Bacterial small subunit ribosomal RNA", at positions 969 to 1509 of the family's 1533-position model. The record is from RNAcentral.